AUGGACAACAUAUCUUUAGAUCCACGUUAUGUGUGUAAAUCCAGCCCAUUACUACUACUACCCAUACUACCUCUACUACUACUACUACCCAUACUACCUCUACUACUACCCAUACUACCUCUACUACUACUACCCAUACUACCUCUACUACUACCCAUACUACCUCUACUACUACUACCCAUACUACCUCUACUACUACCCAUACUACCUCUACUACUACUACUACUACUACCCAUACUACCUCUACUACUACUACCCAUACUACCUCCACUACUACCCAUACUACCUCUACUACUACCCAUACUACCUCUACUACUACUACUACCCAUACUACCUCUACUACCACUACCCAUACUACCUCUACUACUACCCAUACUACCUCUACUACUACUACCCAUACUACCUCUACUACUACUACCCAUACUACCUCCACUACUACCCAUACUACCCUCUUCUUCUACUACCCAUACUACCUCUACUACUACCCAUACUACCUCCACUACUACCCAUACUACCUCUUCUUCUACUACCCAUACUACCUCUACUACUACCCAUACUACCUCCACUACUACCCAUACUACCUCUUCUCUACUACCCAUACUACCUCUACUACUACCCAUACUACCCAUACUACCUCUACUACUACUACCCAUACUACCUCUACUACUACUACCCAUACUACCUCUUCUACUACUACCCAUACUACCUCUUCUACUACCCAUACUACCUCUUCUACUACUACCCAUACUACCUCUACUACUACCCAUACUACCUCUACUACUACCCAUACUACUACCCAUACUACCUCUACUACUACCCAUACUACCUCUACUACUACCCAUACUACCUCCACUACUACCCAUACUACCUCUUCUUCUACUACCCAUACUACCUCUACUACUACCCAUACUACCUCUACUACUACUACCCAUACUACAUCUACUACUACUACCCAUACUACCUCUUCUACUACUACCCAUACUACCUCUUCUACUACCCAUACUACCUCUUCUACUACUACCCAUACUACCUCUACUACUACCCAUACUACCUCUACUACUACCCAUAACUACCUCUACUACUACCCAUACUACCUCUACUACUACCCAUACUACCUCUACUACUACUACCCAUACUACCUCUACUACUACCCAUACUACCUCUACUACUACUACCCAUACUACCUCUACAACUACCCAUACUACCUCUACUACUACCCAUACUACCUCUACCUCUACUACUACUACCCAUACUACCUCUACUACUAAUACUACCCAUACUACCUCUACUACUACCUACCCAUACUACCUCUACUACUACUACCCAUACUACCUCUACUACUAA
RNAcentral lists this long non-coding RNA (1344 nucleotides) under Oncorhynchus kisutch (coho salmon). RNAcentral describes it as "lncRNA (ENSOKIG00005028597.1)". The record is from RNAcentral. Lineage: Eukaryota; Metazoa; Chordata; Actinopteri; Salmoniformes; Salmonidae.